RNAcentral lists this non-coding RNA (29 nucleotides) under Mus musculus (house mouse). The record is from RNAcentral. Lineage: Eukaryota; Metazoa; Chordata; Mammalia; Rodentia; Muridae.
UGGUGUAACACACAACGAGCUGAGCCAUU